CUGCAUUCUUGGCCUUUUAGCUAAGAUAAAAUGCAUUAUCAGUCCCUUUGAAUUCAAUACCUGAUAUGUCCUUGCUUUGAAGACUUUGUAUUAAUGGAUUUUGAGAAGUUGGAGCUUGCUUCGUGUCCUCUAUGUUGAACCUGUUAUUUCAGUACCUUCAAAAUAGUGUGCCAGCCCCACCUU
This is a small nuclear RNA of Struthio camelus australis, 183 nucleotides long. Its record names the gene U2. It matches the Rfam family "U2 spliceosomal RNA". From Rfam's summary of the family: U2 is a small nuclear RNA (snRNA) component of the spliceosome (involved in pre-mRNA splicing). Complementary binding between U2 snRNA (in an area lying towards the 5' end but 3' to hairpin I) and the branchpoint sequence (BPS) of the intron results the bulging out of an unpaired adenosine, on the BPS, which initiates a nucleophilic attack at the intronic 5' splice site, thus starting the first of two transesterification reactions that mediate splicing. Lineage: Eukaryota; Metazoa; Chordata; Aves; Struthioniformes; Struthionidae. The record is from Ensembl.